AACGAACGCUGGCGGCAUGCCUAACACAUGCAAGUCGAACGAGACCUUCGGGUCUAGUGGCGCACUGGUGCGUAACGCGUUGGAACCUGCCCUUAGGUUCGGCAUAACUCCCCGAAAGGGGUGCUAAUACCGGAUCAUGUCUUCGGACCAAAGAUUUAUCGCCUUUGGAUGGUCCCGCGUUGGAUUAGCUAGUUGGUAGGGUAAAAGCCUACCAAGGCGACGAUCCAUAGCUGGUCUGAGAGGAUGAUCAGCCACACUGGGACUGAGGCACGGCCCAGACUACUACGGGAGGCAGCAGUGGGGAAUAUAGGAAAAUGGGCGAAAGGCUGAAGCAGCAAGGACGGGUGAGUGAUGAAGGCCUGAGGGAUGUAAAGCUAUUUUACCCGGGAUGAUAAUGACAGUACCGGGAGAAUAAGCACCGGCUAACUCCGUG
This 433-nucleotide ribosomal RNA is filed under the name uncultured bacterium. RNAcentral describes it as "partial 16S ribosomal RNA". It matches the Rfam family "Bacterial small subunit ribosomal RNA", at positions 29 to 507 of the family's 1533-position model. The record is from RNAcentral.